CCCCUAGAUGUUCUGGGCCGCACGCGCGCUACACUGAACAGUUCAACAAGUCUUAACCUUGGCCGAUAGGUCUGGGUAAUCUUUGAACGCUGUUCGUGAUUGGGAUAGACCUUUGCAAUUAUGGGUCUUCAACGAGGAAUUCCUAGUAAACGCAAGUCAUCAGCUUGCAUUUAUUACGUCCCUGCCCUUUGUACACACCGCCCGUCGCACCUACCGAUUGAAUGGUCCGGUGAAAUCUCGGGACGGCGGCUUGGUCGCUUGCGUCCGACUGCUGAAACUUGAUUAAACCAUAUCAUUUAGAGGAAGGUGAANUCGUAACA
This 320-nucleotide ribosomal RNA is filed under the name uncultured eukaryote. Its description in RNAcentral is "partial 18S ribosomal RNA". It matches the Rfam family "Eukaryotic small subunit ribosomal RNA", at positions 1470 to 1796 of the family's 1831-position model. The record is from RNAcentral.